GCGAGUGAAGCGGCAAAAGCUCAAAUUUGAAACCCUCGGGAUUGUAAUUUGAAGAUUUGGCAUUGGAGAAAGCUAACCCAAGUUGCUUGGAAUAGUACGUCAUAGAGGGUGACAACCCCGUCUGGCUAACCGUUCUCCAUGUAUUGCCUUAUCAAAGAGUCGAGUUGUUUGGGAAUGCAGCUCAAAGUGGGUGGUAAACUCCAUCUAAAGCUAAAUACUGGUGAGAGACCGAUAGCGAACAAGUACUGUGAAGGAAAGGUGAAAAGAACUUUGAAAAGAGAGUGAAAUAGUAUGUGAAAUUGUUGAUAGGGAAGGAAAUGAGUGGAGAGUGGCCGAGGUUUCAGCCGCCCCUCGUGGGCGGUGUACUGCCGACGCCGAGUCAUCGAUAGCGAGACGAGGGUUACAAAUGGGAGCGCCUUCGGGCGUUCUCCCCUAACCCUCCACACUGCCACCGACGACAUAAUCCACCCAUUUCACCCGUCUUGAAACACGGACCCAAACAA
Molecule: ribosomal RNA, 503 nt
Filed under: Yarrowia lipolytica
Lineage: Eukaryota; Fungi; Ascomycota; Dipodascomycetes; Dipodascales
Description: partial 26S ribosomal RNA
Rfam family: Eukaryotic large subunit ribosomal RNA
Source: RNAcentral